Molecule: ribosomal RNA, 383 nt
Filed under: uncultured eukaryote
Lineage: Eukaryota
Description: partial 18S ribosomal RNA
Rfam family: Eukaryotic small subunit ribosomal RNA
Source: RNAcentral
UGUAAGCGUAUACCAAAGUUGUUGCAGUUAAAACGCUCGUAGUCGUAGUUUGGCGAUUCCGGGUGUGAGCACGUCGUGUGCGCACUUCGCGGGGAUUGCUUUUGUGGUCUUGCGUAGGAUGAGGCACUUUUAUUAGUGAACGUCCUCACGCAACCACUUUUUACUGUGAGAAAAUCAGAGUGCUCAAAGCAGGCAUUUGCCGUGAAUAUAUUAGCAUGGAAUAAUGAAAUACGACGAUUAUUCGAUUUUGUUGGUUUAUUGAAAGAUCGUAAUGAUAAAUAGGGACAGUCAGGGGCAUUCGUAUUUAACUGUCAGAGGUGGAAUUCUUGGAUUUGUUAAAGACGCACUACUGCGAAAGCAUUUGCCAGGGAUGUUUUCAUUGA